Molecule: ribosomal RNA, 122 nt
Filed under: Salmonella enterica subsp. enterica serovar Worthington
Lineage: Bacteria; Pseudomonadati; Pseudomonadota; Gammaproteobacteria; Enterobacterales; Enterobacteriaceae
Description: partial 16S ribosomal RNA
Rfam family: Bacterial small subunit ribosomal RNA
Source: RNAcentral
AAAUUGAAGAGUUUGAUCAUGGCUCAGAUUGAACGCUGGCGGCAGGCCUAACACAUGCAAGUCGAACGGUAACAGGAAGCAGCUUGCUGCUUUGCUGACGAGUGGCGGACGGGUGAGGACGG